CAUCAUCACAAGUGAAGAAGACAAUGUGUUACCUAACUCUGUUUAGACAUCACGUGUAAAGGAGACAAUGUGUUGUAUGGCUGUAUUUAAGAGAGGCAUAAGCUUGGGCAAAAUGUAUAAAUAACAAUGUAAGCGAUCGGGAAAGGGCAGAUGCUGGGGCGGACAGCGCAGGAGCAGAUUGAUUUGUCAGAAACUUGAAGAUUUUGGGAAGGACCGCCGCGCCACCUUACUGUUCAAGUGAGCACAACAAGUGGUCUGCCUUCUCAUUGGGAGUCCAGGGUGCUGAAAGGUUCCAUCAUGGUGGCUACACUGGGAGACCCGGUUGGUGGACCCGGUGUACACAGGCUGGUACUCUGUCAACCACAGCCGAGCACAGAGCCUGGUGUGGGGAGAGGGUGAGGGAGCACUUUUUGGAUCGCUGUCAACCUGCCAUGACAACCCCUCCUCCUUCUUCUGCACAGGCAGGUAUACUGACAAGGAAGCACACAAAGGAAUCAGUCACUGUAGCCAUCUUCCUCCUCCAUUACCUCUUCAAUGAAGAUCCCAGAAGCUUCUACAUUAUGGACAAGACUUCACCCUUCCUACACCUCUGAAUAUAACCAGAAACCGGUUCGAUCACCAUGCACUGCAAAAUCAUUCUGGCUAUGGAUACAAAAGACAUCACCAUGCCAGAGGAUAUACCC
Long non-coding RNA from Coregonus clupeaformis (lake whitefish), 683 nucleotides. RefSeq lists it as uncharacterized. The transcript has 7 exons. The record is from RefSeq and is a predicted model, not a curated record. Lineage: Eukaryota; Metazoa; Chordata; Actinopteri; Salmoniformes; Salmonidae.